RNAcentral lists this ribosomal RNA (305 nucleotides) under uncultured bacterium. Its description in RNAcentral is "bacterial SSU rRNA". It matches the Rfam family "Bacterial small subunit ribosomal RNA", at positions 337 to 634 of the family's 1533-position model. The record is from RNAcentral.
GCCUACGGGGCGCAGCAGUAGGGAAUCUUCCACAAUGGGCGAAAGCCUGAUGGAGCAACGCCGCGUGGGUGAAGAAGGUCUUCGGAUCGUAAAACCCUGUUGUUAGAGAAGAAAGUGCGUGAGAGUAACUGUUCACGUUUCGACGGUAUCUAACCAGAAAGCCACGGCUAACUAUGUGCCAGCAGCCGCGGUAAUACGUAGGUGGCAAGCGUUAUCCGGCUUUAUUGGGCGUAAAGGGAACGCAGGCGGUCUUUUAAGUCUGAUGUGAAAGCCUUCGGCUUAACCGGAGUAGUGCAUUGGAAACU